UCGGGAGCUUAUAUUGUCCUGCCUUUUAUAAGUCAAUAAUUUGUCUCGCCAUUUACAAUAGUUUGUUAGUGGCACUGUUAACAUCAGAUUAGGACUCCAAACCCAAAUAGAACAGAUUUACCAUCAGGUUCCAGUAAUAGGAACCAUCACUUCCAGGGACCACUGAAGGGUACAGACAAGGAAGGACCAUGAAUUUGGAACUGGAAGGUACUCCAGAGGCCUCUGAGUACAACUCUUUUGUAUUGUAGAUUUGAAAACUGAAAGUCAGGAUCAUGAACUGAAUUGCAUGGAAGUCGGAGGGAGUUCCUGGUCUCCUGACAACAUACCCCUGCACCACAAUGACUAGGAAGAUAGUGAUUCUGAAUACUGCUCCUAGGAC
RNAcentral lists this long non-coding RNA (379 nucleotides) under Monodelphis domestica (gray short-tailed opossum). Its description in RNAcentral is "lncRNA (ENSMODG00000047229.1)". Lineage: Eukaryota; Metazoa; Chordata; Mammalia; Didelphimorphia; Didelphidae. The record is from RNAcentral.